CGAGUGGCGAACGGGUGAGUAACACGUGGGUGAUCUGCCCUGCACUCUGGGAUAAGCCUGGGAAACUGGGUCUAAUACCGGAUAGGACCAUGCUUUAGUGUGUGUGGUGGAAAGUCUUUCGGUGUAGGAUGAGCCCGCGGCCUAUCAGCUUGUUGGUGGGGUAAUGGCCUACCAAGGCGGCGACGGGUAGCCGGCCUGAGAGGGUGUACGGCCACAUUGGGACUGAGAUACGGCCCAG
Molecule: ribosomal RNA, 238 nt
Filed under: uncultured Actinomycetales bacterium
Lineage: Bacteria; Bacillati; Actinomycetota; Actinomycetes; Actinomycetales
Description: partial 16S ribosomal RNA
Rfam family: Bacterial small subunit ribosomal RNA
Source: RNAcentral